CCCUUAGAUGUUCUGGGCCGCGCGCGCGCUACACUGAUAAUGUCAACAAGCUUUACCUUGGCCGAUAGGUCUGGGCAAUCUUCGAACUAUUAUCGUGAUGGGGCUAGAUUAUUGCAACUAUUAAUCUUAAACGAGGAAUUCCUAGUAAGCGCGAGUCAUCAGCUCGCGUUGAUUACGUCCCUGCCCUUUGUACACACCGCCCGUCGCUCCUACCGAUUGGAUUGGCUGGUGAAGCGUUCGGAUUGUGGGUUCGGAGCGGUUCGCCGUUCUGGGCUUGCGAGAAGUUCGUUAAACCCUCCUAUCUAGAGGAAGGAGAAGUCGUAACA
Molecule: ribosomal RNA, 326 nt
Filed under: uncultured eukaryote
Lineage: Eukaryota
Description: partial 18S ribosomal RNA
Rfam family: Eukaryotic small subunit ribosomal RNA
Source: RNAcentral